UUCCACCUUCCCUCCACGCUGUUGAGCUCUGCAGUGACAUUCAUCACAACCCUUCUGAUUAAUGUUCCCUUUCUCUCCUUCCUGCCCGACGACGAUCCUCAGCAUUUGAGCAGAACGGGAGGGAAAGAUGACGAAUAACCCGAGAGACGCCGCAGUGCAGCCCAACGAGGCUCUGAGACCCAGAGACCCAGAGCAGGCUGGAUCACGGUGGACUCCAGGACACACACACACACAUACACACACACGCACACACACACACACACACACACAUCCAACCUCACUGAGACUUUGAGCUGAAUUAUUUGAGCCCUUGUUGUGUUGUAUGCGUUGGUGGAAUGCAGCCAGGAGGAGAGGAGCACGUCGUCGGCUUUUGUUACACACACACACACACACACACACACACACACACACACACAAGCUCUUGUGCUCCGUCAUCAGGGUGGAGCGCGCUUGCUGCCGUGUUGACAUGAGGCCCUGAAGCUCUAAUACAUGUUGGAUUGUGGUUUUAAGUGCAGAGCCAUUUUCCCCGUUUCACUUUUUGGAUAAAUGUUUUCUUUCCUGAUUGAAACGUAAUUUUUUUUAAAUAAAUAUAUAUACAUAUAGAUAUAUAUAAAUAAAAACCUAAUUGGUCUAAUUUUUGUCUUUUUGUCAUUUAUAUGUGGUUUAAAUUAGUGUGAGACUUGAGGGAAUAAGAGUGUUUGUUCGUGUCCCUAGUUUCUCUCAGCAGUCUGUAAACAUCCCAGACCUUUGAGCAAGGCACCGUCACUGCCCCUGACGGAGUAAAACUAAAGUCACUUGCCCUCACUGUCGUCUCUGGAGCCAAACACGAUGCAACAUGGAGCUGCUCGGUCUGCAGGAAGAACACGGUGCUAGCUCAUCUGGUCCCGUGGCAUCGCGACUCAAAGCUGAGGUCAAAGGUCACGCCGUCCCACACGCAGCCGACGGGACAGGAAGCACACGUCGGCCCUCAUCGUCUCCUCCGUGGCAACAACCUUGACCUUCGUGGGAGAGGGGGGUCUGAGUGGGUUCUGUUUACACUCUCAGGACCGAGCAGUCCUGACAGAGGAUCCUCAAAGCAACACACAGAACACGUGUGUUCACAGAGCACAUGAAACCCGAUCAGAGGUUCUGUACGCGGCUUUCCUGUCAACAUGUCUUCACUAUAAUACAGAGUGGUUGGGACCCUUCAAGAGAACUGCAGGAGCCUCUGUGGCCCUGGAACCCCGUGGGGACACGUCUCCAGUGGGCCUCAUUUAAAAGAAUUCAUUGAAUCAUUGCUUUUCGCUCUUAGUUGUGUUUGAGUGCUGAAUGUCUUUAGAAAUGUUUUGUUUACAAUAUGUACUUUAGUUUUCACAUUUAAUUGUUGUUUGUUUUGUCAGCACACAAACAGGAAGCGGCCUUCUGGAACCAAAAAGGGUUCUUCAGAGUGACGCCGUAGAAGAACCUUUCAAACCAGGGUUCUUUAAAGAACCAAGUCUUUAUAGAGUUCUUCAAAGAACCUCUAAAGGUGUCUCAAAGAACCUUAAAACAUGGUUCUUUAAGGCACCAUGUCCCAAGUGGUUCUCCAGUAGUGAUGGUUCUUCGUAGAACCA
Pseudoliparis swirei is the source of this 1592-nucleotide long non-coding RNA. RefSeq lists it as uncharacterized. The transcript is spliced from 3 exons. The record is from RefSeq and is a predicted model, not a curated record. Lineage: Eukaryota; Metazoa; Chordata; Actinopteri; Perciformes; Liparidae.